GCAGGUAUGGCGGAAUUGGCAGACGCGCUAGCUUCAGGUGCUAGUGGGGGCAACCCCGUGGAGGUUCAAGUCCUCUUACCUGCA
This is a transfer RNA of 84 nucleotides. It matches the Rfam family "tRNA". From Rfam's summary of the family: Transfer RNA (tRNA) molecules are approximately 80 nucleotides in length. Their secondary structure includes four short double-helical elements and three loops (D, anti-codon, and T loops). The record is from Rfam.